CCACCUACCCAUAUCCUAGAUUCAUUCUCAAAUCACAUAAUGCCAUUUGGUCCAAUAUUUAAAUAUCAGCAUAAUUUCUCCCACGAUUAAAAAAUUAAUGAAAAUCCACUUUUUUCUUAAUUAUUGAACACAAUCCAUAAUGCAUGUUUGACGAAAUCAUCAAUUUAACAAAAUUACUUUGACACACAGCUAUCAUAUAUAUAUAUAUAGCAAUCCAAACAUGCAGAUGGAUAAUUUACCUGAAGAGGAAGAAGUGGUGGAAACUCCAUUAGGAUAAAAGCUAUAACUGAUAAAGCAACUAAAAAGAUAAAUCUGAGCAGAAAUUGAAUCACCACACUCCAAUUUAGCUUGUUCUUCAGCACUCUUAACACAAUUACCACAAUCAUCAUUUCCCAAACUACUCUCACACUGUCCCAAAACAUACAAAGAUGAAUAACUACCCGUAUAGAACAAAUUCCCACUCUUCACACCAUUCUCCACCAUUCCAAACGCUGAAUCCCUCUUAGCUUCAAACCCAACACCAUCAUUCACCUUCUUCGAGCCACAAACCUUGUACAACAAUUGUGUCUGCGGAACUUGUCUAAACCCAACAACCUCGUACCUUAAAUAACAACCAUUGAGCUGAAUCCUGGCUGCUGCGACAUCACCACAAAGCUUGCUUAUCUUGCUUGGAAUCUUGCUGAUACAAAGAUAACAAUCAGAAGCUGAAAGGUCACCUCUGCAUUGGUAAACUCCGGUGACUGCGUUCUGGCCGUCACCGGUGGUUGUGGCCGCGAAAGUUUUCUGUCCUGAUGCUGCAACAAGAGAAGAUAACAACGUUUGAAGAUUCACUGAAGAUUGUUGUCCUAGUUUUUGCUCUGAACAACCUUUGUAGACAACGUUGGUGUUAUCGGUGGUGAAAACAAGUGAUGAAAAAUUGAGCAGAAUGAGAAAUGAAAGUGUUUGUUUUGUUCUAAGGAUACCCAUUUGUGAGAUUGGAAAGAAAGUGACGUUUUUUUUUGUUAGGUUUUCACUUACUUUGAUGAGUAAUUUGUAGGCUGUAUGUAUCCUAUUGAAGAAGAAGAAGAAGAAGAAGAAAGAAAAAAACAAAAACUCAAGUUUGUUUUUAAAGAGUUUGUUUUCUUGUUUUAUAUGCAACCACCUUGUACUACUUG
This 1154-nucleotide long non-coding RNA is filed under the name Medicago truncatula (barrel medic). RNAcentral's name for it is "lncRNA gene42973". Lineage: Eukaryota; Viridiplantae; Streptophyta; Magnoliopsida; Fabales; Fabaceae. The record is from RNAcentral.